AAAACACAUGAUUGAUAACAGCUGGAGGGAAAACUGAACCAACUUACAGCUAAAUCUUAAUGAUGAACUCUUCAUUCAGUGAUGAUGAGUUAAGGUUAGGUAUUGACCUUGAAUGGUUGAGGUUAGGAUAGGUCGUCGGGCAGCGAGACUCGCAAGAGUUUUCGCACAUUUUCGCAGCUUGGGUGUUACCUUCUAGACACGACCUUCUCUCAGUAUCGGAGGUUGUCGCUUGGUUAGUCCUGAUGGGUUGUU
Long non-coding RNA from Sebastes umbrosus (honeycomb rockfish), 252 nucleotides. RefSeq lists it as uncharacterized. Lineage: Eukaryota; Metazoa; Chordata; Actinopteri; Perciformes; Sebastidae. The transcript is spliced from 3 exons. The record is from RefSeq and is a predicted model, not a curated record.